This is a long non-coding RNA of Jatropha curcas, 2283 nucleotides long. RefSeq lists it as uncharacterized. NCBI's taxonomy places the organism in Eukaryota, Viridiplantae, Streptophyta, Magnoliopsida, Malpighiales, Euphorbiaceae. The record is from RefSeq and is a predicted model, not a curated record.
UUACAAUUCGAUAUAUCUAUUCUCAAAAUAAAUAAAUAAAAAUCCCCUCGUUAGUUUAAGUAUGAGGCUUUGCUCUUAGAGAGAGGCGGUGGGUUUCGGGGUGGUUGACGCCGUCCUCUCUGAUAGAUAGCGGAGCCAGUGAUCACUGAUUACAUUUUUUACGUUGGCAACAGCCCUUGCAUAUAUAUAUAUAUAUAUACCUUCUUUUUUUGUGUGUGUGGCUUUGAUGAUAUAUUCAGUGACCCUAAAAGAUCAGACUCGAAGAGAAAUACUCGAUUUCUUGGCGGGGCGAUCUUUGAUGGUUGCAGCCAUGCUGUUAUGGUGUUUCUUCUUGUCCGAUUUGAAGGCAUAUCUGAUCUGAGCCUACUAUCUCUACAGAUUUCUCUGUUUCUGUUUGGGCUUUUGUUGUUUUCAUGCAAAAUAUCUUUAUAACAUUUGUAGAUUUGUAGGGAACAGAUGCUUCCUUUGGCGGGGUGACUUGAGGGUCUUAUUUGACAAAUAGCUACUUUUGCAGCCAUGGAUGUGUUGUAUAAAUGAAUUCAAGUGUAUAGUUCAUUUAUUGAUGAUAGAAAAGAACUUUCUAGUUCAUACCAAACAUGAAAUUUGAAAUUAAAGAUGAAUUCUUUGGAAUUCAUAUACAGUACACGGCCUUUCUGUCUGGUAAAAUGCGAAUCUGAGCCUUCUUUUACUGUCUUAUUAACCGACUUGAAAAUGUGUUUUUUCAUGGUUUCUUUAAAAUAAAUCAUGUGACAUGUUUUUUAAUAUAUUGCUUCGAGAAUUUCAAUUUUGGUCUGUGGGUAUGGAAGAGGAAGAAGGUCAACCAUGAAAUUACAGUUAUUAUCAUUGUUUCGAAAACAAUUUCUGGAUUCAUUUUCUCUUUCACUUCCAUUUUUGGUUCCUACUGUGUGUGAUUUGUACACUUUUGGCCUUCUUAUAGACUAUAAAUUAAACAUUUUAAAAUAAUUAUAACUUCCUUGAUAGUGUGAUGGGCUACUGCCCCCAACUUGUUUUUUGGACAACUAUUGACUGCCUGCUUACCCUUGCAUUUUUCUGUUUUCUUGAUGAGUUCUAUGUGUUACCCGUAAAAAAGGUUAACAUGUGAUAUAGGAAAUUCUUUGCUGCUGCUUACGAGUAGUAUGUGGCCAUUCUUAACUCCUUUUUCACCCUUGCUCAGAUUUUGAAUGUUCUUAUGUUGGUCAUUUCUUGCUUUCAUUGCUAGCAUGAUGCCGAAGGGGAAUUAGUUUUGUAGUUGUUUUAGUGUCCAUGAUUGGAUGCAAGCUGCUAAAGCUUAACUACAAAUGAAAGUCUGCUUUAUGAAGUAUUUCGUUGUUCUGGCUUAUUUUCUGCUGGUGUUAAUUCAUGGAGUAGCAUCCUGGUCUUGGAAUGUCUGCUAAGGGUAAUGAUACGAUAGAGCUGCAUUCUUGUUCCACUGUGUUUGGCGUCACUGUCAUAUCAAUUUCUAGUUUUUUAAAGUUGCUGUUUGUUUUUUGAAAUAGUUUUUUGAAAAUUGCCUGUUGACUGUCUAUUUGUUUGAAUUUUAGGAAACUUUAAAAGACUUAAAACAAAAACUGUGUUCCUAUAAGGUUAGCAUUAGAAUUAUAUUUAAUUUAAUAUUUUUUGGUUUUAAGCCUUGAGAAUUGCAAGUUUUGGAUGUGCCUUCUAAUGUCAGUAGAGCAUCCCUGAAGCUGAUAGGAUUUGUGUUUUUUGGCCUCGUAAUUUGUUGCUACAUAUGUAACUCAUUUGUCUCUUAUAUGUAAGAACCCUCGUGAUUUCUUUCAGCUUGAAACUGCCGUUCAAGGUCCCAAGAAGGAUAGCUUUGGUAAAUAUGCUGGAUCGAGCGGAAAUCUGAUGAUAAUUGGUAAUUCAGUUCUUGUUCAACUAGUUCAGCUUGCUGUAACUUUUUCUGGAUGUAGAAGAUCCUUCUGUCAUUUGAUAUGACGCCAAAUCUGGAUGUUUACUGGAAAAGUUGUUUCAAUGUGGAGAAACAACAAAUGAGAAAUUAUUUUGUUCAUCUUUCUGGGAAUGAAGGGUGCAAGGUGGCUAUCGUUUCCGAUAACUAUAAUGUAUACCAGAGUAUAGAAGUUAUUGUUUCUCUCCCUUGCUCGUGUGCAUCGGCCGGUUCUGUUUUCAAAUCAAAUCGAUUGAAAGCUGAAGAAAAAAUGUGUGCAGCUGAAACCAAGCAAACCAAGAAAAUAACUAAACUGAUUUGAUUUGGAUCAAUUUGGUUCGUUCUGCUAAUAUUUUGCCAUUUUAAAUGUUGAAAAAAAAAGUUGGUGAUCUGAA